RNAcentral lists this ribosomal RNA (253 nucleotides) under uncultured bacterium. Its description in RNAcentral is "partial 16S ribosomal RNA". It matches the Rfam family "Bacterial small subunit ribosomal RNA", at positions 524 to 776 of the family's 1533-position model. The record is from RNAcentral.
UACGUAGGCAGCAAGCGUUGUUCGGAGUUACUGGGCGUAAAGAGUGUGUAGGCGGUUCUCUAAGUUCCGUGUGAAAUCCCCCGGCUCAACUGGGAGGGUGCGCGGAAAACUGGAGGGCUCGAGUAUGGGAGAGGAAAGCGGAAUUCCUGGUGUAGCGGUGAAAUGCGUAGAUAUCUGGAGGAAUACCGGUGGCGAAGGCGGCAUCCUGGACCGACAUUGACGCUGAGGAGCGAAAGCUAGGGGAGCAAACGGG